Molecule: long non-coding RNA, 1409 nt
Organism: Nilaparvata lugens (brown planthopper)
Lineage: Eukaryota; Metazoa; Arthropoda; Insecta; Hemiptera; Delphacidae
Exons: 2
Source: RefSeq, a predicted model, not a curated record
AUUGUCUUAAUUAUUUUCCUUAAUUUUUCAGGCUUACGAAAUCAAUCUUCAGCUUACAGCAGUCAUUUCAAGGCUUUCUCUCUUACCACAUCCUUUUCUUCAUGAGUACCUUCUGAAUCCACUGCUUAAUCGGAAACCAGGCUCUGAUUCAUUGGUGAAAGCUCUGGGUGAUGUAGCUGCACAUCUUCUAAAUAGAGUUUGUGAAAUACCAGACUAUAAAGUGAAGCUAAUAAAUACGAGGCAUAGACUUUUGGGAGAUAUUCCUGAAGAAACGAACGUUGACUGCAGUCUACUUGAGAGUAUAGUUGUCUUGGAAGAACUGUGCAAAGAGUUAGCAGCCAUCGCCUAUGUCAAAUUCCACAGUGCUACCUGACAAGCAUCUUUGCAAUUAAUAAGUAGAAUCAUUGUUGUACAAACGCACAUUUAUACUCAUCAAUAUUAAGCAUUAUUUGUUACAAUCAAGCCAGUACAAUGUUUCUAGAUGCCCAUAAAACAUGGACGACAAUAGGAGGCUCUGCUACAUCUACUUUGCAUCAGGUCCCUAAAUUAACCACCUGUAUUUUUUAAAGGUUUCUGAAGUUAUGUUGACAUUUUCGAUUUGACAUAAUAUGCAUUAUUACUCAGUGGCGGCUGGAGUAAAUAUAGUUUGGAGGUUGCAGGUAUCAGGCAAAACUCUCAUAGUAAAUACGGAAACAAUAGGAAACAAAUUACAAUUUGUCAUUAAAUGGAACUUGUAUACUGACUAUAACUGUAUAGUCCAAACAGUAUAGUCCAUGUACGGAGUAGAGUCCGUAAUUCAAUUAUAGAGUUGAAGUACGUCUCCUCUUUAUUUUUGCCUUCAAAGUAUCCUAUGGGAUAUUCAACUCCCGAGCUGUCAGAUUGCUCAGGUAUAUUUAAAAAAAAAAAAAAUGUUACAAUAUCCACGAUAACGGAAGAUAAACUUCAAACUCCUAGACCCCAUGACAAUACUUAAAAGUUCAGUAGCAGGAACAUCGAAAUAAGUUUUACUCAAAUUACUAAGAGAAUCAAUUACUAAAUUUAGAGGGUAAUUAGAUUCCCUCCAAUUGUUCAUUCUAUUUAAAAGAUCGCUAAAAACUCCAUCAUUUAAUAUGAAAACAAGAACAUUCUUAUCGGUAAACAAACUCUUAUAUUAUUUGAAUCACAUAACUCAUUUAGUUGAUUCCAUUCUUCAAAGGAGAAAUACUUUUUAUUCCUAAGCAAUGAGAGACCUUCAGAUGUGUUCACACUAUUUUUCAUUUUUGCAAAAGAAAUCAUAACAUCCACCCUUUCACCAAAAUUAUAGACUAGGCUCAUUCUACUUUUAUGAGUAAUUAUUAUUGAACGAAAAUCCUAAAUAAAUGUUGCAAAUCACACCGAAGACCUCUGCUACUGCAGACAUUGACAACAGG